Molecule: ribosomal RNA, 253 nt
Filed under: uncultured bacterium
Lineage: Bacteria
Description: partial 16S ribosomal RNA
Rfam family: Bacterial small subunit ribosomal RNA
Source: RNAcentral
UACGGAGGGGGCGAGCGUUAUUCGGAAUUAUUGGGCGGAAAGGGCGCGUAGGCGGCCCGGUAAGUCAAAGGUGAAAUCCCUCGGCUCAACUGAGGAACUGCCUUUGAAACUGUCGGGCUUGAGGCCGGGAGGGGGUAGCGGAAUUCCCAGUGUAGCGGUGAAAUGCGUAGAUAUUGGGAGGAACACCAGUGGCGAAGGCGGCUACCUGGACCGGUUCUGACGCUGAGGCGCGAAAGCGUGGGUAGCAAACAGG